UGCAACUUGGACAAGGGGUGUGUG
This 24-nucleotide non-coding RNA is filed under the name Mus musculus (house mouse). The record is from RNAcentral. Lineage: Eukaryota; Metazoa; Chordata; Mammalia; Rodentia; Muridae.